Molecule: long non-coding RNA, 1378 nt
Filed under: Malus domestica (apple)
Lineage: Eukaryota; Viridiplantae; Streptophyta; Magnoliopsida; Rosales; Rosaceae
Description: long non-coding RNA (MDOM_LNC004701)
Source: RNAcentral
AAAGGGUCAUUGUCAAAUAUUCUCAGAGGGUCAUUACCUCACUUCUAACUGCACCGAUAUUGUCCAAAUUUAACUAUCUAUUACUAGAUGUUGUGUUUUACCACAAAAUACAUCAGUAUUAUUAUGACUCAAUGUGGGACUUAUAUUUCACACGCCCCCUCACAUAGGACCACUACGUAGUGGGCCCCAGUUGCAAUCAAUCCCACCUUUGACAUUAAGUGCAAAAUCAUGGUGUUACAUUAAAACCAGUAACUCGGGCACGACACAGACCCACAUGACCUACAAUCAAACCUGCUCUAAUACUAUGUCAAAUAAUCAGAUAGACAGACAAUUGGGCCACUCCUAACCACACUCGUAUUGUCCCAACUUCACCACAUAUUGAUAGGUGUUGUGUUUUAUCACAAAAUGUCUCAAUGUUAUUGAGAGUGCAAUCAUGCACUUAUAUAUUGUAUUUUAUUUUCUUAGUUACCUAAUGUUGGACUUAUAUUCCACACCUUUGUCUGUUGUUAAGGUUUUCUUUAUAUAUUUUUACUUUUACUUUUGCGUCAAUUAUUGUUGUUUGAAAAACCUUCUUCAUGUAUUUUAUAGAGACAAAUUGGAUUAAUAUAUGUUAAAUAAAUUAAAAUUGUACUAAUAUCAGGAUGAAAAAAUAAUUUAUGUAGAACAAGUGCAGUUUAGUGAUCAAAUUAGAUUCAAUUCCGUUAGGUGAAUUAGUAAACGAUUUAUUUGAAUUCAACAUCAAUUCUAACUUGAUUCCAGAUAGUUUAGUAAACGACUUUAACAUAUGGUUUUGAUUCCCUUAAUCAAACUCCUCUUCAAUUCCUCCUUAGUUCAGUUCUCCUUGUUCUAUUCACGGAUUAGUAGACGCAUCAUCAGUGCAAUUAAAUACAUUAUAUGUAAUCCAAUUUCUUGUCCUUAUACUUAACAACAUAUAUAUUAUUCUUUACUCAACAACUGGUAUCCAUAAGAUUUGAAUGAACAACUUCUUCCAACAAUUAUUAACAAUACAUUAAUCCAUCACACAAGUAUUACAUCUUGUACCAAUAUCUAUUAUGAUAAACUGACAAGCAUAUCCAACAAAAGUAAAAUGAAAAUAGGUGAGCUAGUGGUGCAAGCUAUUGGCACCAAGAUAAUAGUGGUUAACUCAUGUACUAGUAGAAAAAACAGCUUGCGCGAUGAACAAUAUUUCGUCGCACAAGAUCUACUUGCGCGAUGAAAAAAAAACUUUGUCGCGCAAAAUAGAAAAGAUAGGAAAAAUAAAAUAAAAUUUGCGCGACGAAAAUAUUCGUCGCGCAAAGAAUAUAAUUUUGUUUGGCACGAAAAACUUGCACUACGAAAAGGGGGCAUUUGCAUGACCAAUGAUUUGUCGUGCAAGUUC